This 465-nucleotide ribosomal RNA is filed under the name Triticum aestivum (bread wheat). Its description in RNAcentral is "partial small subunit ribosomal RNA". Lineage: Eukaryota; Viridiplantae; Streptophyta; Magnoliopsida; Poales; Poaceae. The record is from RNAcentral.
AUUUUUCAGCCUAAGCAACGUCACGAUGGCACAGUUGCUUGGUUAGCGGUGUGCAUGUCUGCUGCUCUCGCAGAUCCAUCCUCUGAGCCACGCACGUAUCAAGCUGCUAUGCGCAUUCCUCAUUGGAGAGAGGCCAUGGAGCAGGAGUAUCAAGCGCUUCUUCGCAAUCAGACAUGGACUCUUGUUCCUCCACAAUCACGGGUAAAUGUCAUUGAUUCCAAAUGGGUUUUCAAAGUGAAGAGGCAUUCUGAUGGGUCCAUUGAGCGCUAUAAGGCUCGUCUGGUUGCUCGUGGGUUUCGACAGCGUUUUGGACUUGACUAUGAAGACACCUUCAGUCCAGUGGUCAAGCCUACUACCAUCAGACUUCUUCUCUCUCUGGCUGUUACUCGAGGUUGGUUUCUUCGUCAGCUUGAUGUUCAAAAUGCUUUUCUUCAUGGUGUCUUGGCGGAGGAGGUUUACAUGCGC